AAGCGAGAGACACAACUUGUCUUUCUGUGUAGAUCUGCAGAGUCUGCAACACCAUGUUGAUUGCUUCGUCGAGAUGGUGAAGAUGAUGGAGGAAGAGUACUUCAUUGAAGUAAAGAAUAUGCCUGAAGAAGAAGGCGAGCCUAUUUCAUCAAGAAUUGAUUCUGGUGGAAUGAUCAAGUCAAAGAUGGUUGGAUUAUCUUAUGAAUUUCAACAGCCAGAGAUUAUCUUCUUGAAGGAAAUAACAAUCUACCCUAUUCGAUUAUUGGGAUGGCGGGCGUUGGAAAGACAACUCUUGCUAAACAUAUUUUUGAAGAUCCAUCAAUUCAGAGCCAUUUUGAGUUUCGAGCAUGGGUCAGAGUGGGCAGAAAAUGCGAAUUUGAUGAACUAUUACUAAGCGUUCUAGCACAAGUGGAUCCCAACGCUUACGAAAUGCUUACCCAAGGAGAUGAUGAUGAGGAAUUAGUUGGACUAUUGAAAGAAAUAUUGAAGGGAAAGAAAUGUCUCCUCAUGUUGGAUGAUGUUUGGGAGACACAAGCAAUAAGUCGCAUGAUAAAUUGCUUGCACGAAGAGAAUACUCUUGGAUGGAUUCAAUACUUAGUUACAAGUAGACAAUGGAUAUUCCGGCAACAUGAGAGCAUAAGAGUGACCUUGUUGUAUGAAGAAGAUAGUAAGAAAUUACUUGGUGAGAAGGUGUUUAGUGAAGACGGUUUCCCUCUCCAACUUGAGGAACUUGGAGAGAAGAUUGCAGAGAAAUGUGAAGGCCUUCCUCUUAUGAUAGUCACGGUUGCAGAGCUCCUAUCAAAAGCCGACAAGACCCCAGAAUACUGGACUGAGAUAGCCUACAAACAACACAACUCACUUUUCGAGGAUGCAUAUAAUCAAAUAUCAGAGGUACUUUUCCCAAGUUAUGACUACUUACCCCAACAUUUAAAAAUGUUCUUCCUCUAUAUGGGAGCUUUCCCUCCUUAUGCUGAUCAGACACCACUCGAUAUUAAUUGUCUUUCGAGAGUUGAGGGAUUUCUUGAACUGAAUGAUGAAAAAAGUUUUUUGGAAAAGCUUUAUGAGGAGUAUCAUCUUGUUCUCGACACAGAAAAUUCUUGGUAUUCGAGUAGACAGUAUCGCGUGCAUUCUUGUUGGCAACACUUAUGUAAGGUAGAAGCUAGUAGGAUCAAGUUUCUACAUGUCUUACGAGGUUGUGAUGAUGUGACAAAAGACCAGCGUCGCUUGUGUGCCCAUUACAACAAUUUAUUUGCCUUCAAACAAGUGUAUGAUUCAAUUUAUUAUGAUGACGACGAUGAUGAUGAAAGAAACCCAUCGAGUUGCUUGGGUUAUAUCUCCCAACUCCAGAAUCUGGAGAGACUUGAAUAUUGGGUUAGCAAUCCUGAGAUAAAGUAUGAGUGUAAUACGAUUCCUCUUUCAAUGUUUCCAUCAAAUCUGAAGGUGUUAACGUUGUCUGGGUUAGGGGGGUAUCCUUGGAAUUACAUGAAUGACAUUGGUUCGCUGCUGCCAAAUCUCGAGAUUCUCAUAUUAAACUGCUAUGCAUUUCGAGGCCCAGAGUGGGACAUAACACCGGGGAGUUUUUUGAAACUUAUUGAACUUCAAAUUUAUGACACCGAUUUGGUGCGAUGGAGACCUCAACGUGGAAGCUUCCCGGAGCUUCGUAGACUAGGCAUGCUGCAUUGCUACAAAUUACAACAGCUCGAUUGGCCGUAUGAUCGCUCUUGGAUAGAGAUCAUUACUUUACGCGAGUGCAAUCCUUUAGCUGUCGCUUGUGCCAAGGAAUUAAAAGACAAGUUUUCCUUUCAACUUUUCGUCAAAUCUUCUUUUUUAGGUCAAGUGACUCUGCGACUUGCCUAACAGGUUAGUGUUACUACUUUGCAAUAUUACGUCUUAAUGUUUCUGUUAUGGUCAUAGUGUUUGAGAUUGUCCAUCUAUCGAUUUUCAGGCAAAUGAAAGAGACGAUCGAGAGUUGCUUCCCCUGCCGCAGGUGAGUUUCUGCUGUCUAUGUAGAUUACUAGUAACUUGCUUAACAAACGUCGAGGCCUUUGUAUUACGAGCUGCUGUGUUUGAAGAUCUCUUCGCAAGAUUCUUAAGGAGUUCACUUGUUCAAGGCGCCAUAAGGUAACUUCUUUAUAAUGCAUAAUAACCUAUAAAUGAAUCGAUUAACUUGAAAGUAUUGGGCUCGUUAGCUUGCAACACGUUCGUGUAUAGCAUUAAUUGUGAGCAUCAUAUAUUGCUACUCGUUGGCUUCUUUGCAUUGUAGGUAUGAAUCGCCUUAUUGGCGAGGAAUUGCAGCUAGACGGAUCCAACUCGCGUGGAGACGCAGAAAGAUGCAAACGAAUCGAGCUGAGUCAAGUCGAGUAGAUUCCUCAAGCUCACCGUCAUCUCAGACUAGAAGCAGACGCAGAUAAGACUCGUUGGAGUAACGGAUUCUAGCCAACUGAAAGGUUCGAUAGCGUGUUCGUGCUCGUACGUAAGAUGAGGUUCCUCUCUUCCACUCUGCCGAAGCCACUGUGUUUGUGUAAAUGUUGCUAACUCAUAUGAAGUGCUCUUGAUUUUAGAUCGAGUUAUAGAAUUAAUCAAGAUUUUAUGUUAAUUUUAUUAGUAACCGUAGGAGUUGUUGGUUUAGCUAUGAAGUAAACUUUUUUAUUUAUUUUUGAUAAAUUACAGUAUUAAAAAGAAAUUUAAAGGUCGCGCCACAUGAGAUUCGAAUCCAAGACUUUUGGCGUUAAGCAUUAAUAAAAUAUCUAAGGCAUUUAUCAACUAACCUAUUGCCUAUGAAUUAACAUACACUAAUUGGGCUUCUCUAUAUAAUAAAUAAAUUUUCGGCCCAAUAAAAAAUAUAAGCCCAGCUCCAUCAUUUAUCUUUUAAAUUCUGCCUAACUAUAAUCCAUUUUUAUUCCUUGAAUUGAUAACAAAGAAGCAAUUAAAACACCAAUUUACUCAAAUUAAAAGCUCAACAAUUCAACAUCAAAAACCAGAUUUUGAGUUGGGCUGAAUUCCCCAUGGCAUAAUUUUCUUCUAUUCCGACUUGGGCCCAACAAUUAUAUAAUACACAAAAAAUAACCUUAAAAUAAAAUAUGUACAUAAUAUGAGUAAAACUAACAGAAAAUGUUAUAUAUGAUGCUGAGGCAGUUAGGAAAAAUAAGUGUGUGUGCAUUUUCCCAAUCAAAUACAUAUCUUAAGUUUGUGAAAUGCUAUUGUGUUUUAAUUGAUUAAGAGUUGUGAGGUUAAAAAUGUUGUUGAUUUAGCUAUGAAGUGAAUCUGAUUAAGAGCUCUCGUUGUCAAAGAAGAAAAGAAAAGAAUUGAUUAAUUAUCAUUCAUAAAAUUUCUAAAGCAUUUUUAUCAGCUAACCUAUUACGGUAUUACCUAUCAAUUGGGCUUCUUCAUAUAAUAAACAAAAUUUCGGCCCAAUACAAAAAGUUAAGGCCCAACUCCAUCAUUUAUCUUUUAAAUUAUGCCUCAGUAUUAAAAGGCAUCAAAUUCUACUCAAUUUCUGUAGAAGACAUUCAAAACCCAUGGCACUUUAGAUAUUCCACCAUAGAGAACUAUUAUUAAUCUUCUAUAAACAAAAAAUAAAAAUAACAACUUGACACGGGCGGGCCGACCCAUUUUGACAACUCUAAUUUUACCUAGUAUAGGCUGUAUAGCAUCUAAGGCCAAGUAAUUACUAAUUGAUAGUAAUUGAAAAUUUAGGUAUAAUCGAAUUGAGUUUGUUGCAAACCAAAAUUUUCAUAUCUCACGCAAUGACUACGUGGAAGGCAACAUCUCAAUACCACUCAGCUUAGGGCUGAAAUGAUCAAAGCGGAGAAAGAAAAACGCAACACAAUAGCAUUGAUGGCAUGCAUAUAAAAGGAGAAUUUGUGCCAAAUUAAAACUUAUGGUAUUUUAUAUAGAAUGGUUAAUAGUGUUUUAUGUCUCGAACUUUCAGCAUUUUCUAUAAAAUGUCUCGAACUUUCAUCUUCUCCUAAAAAGUCCCGAACUUUCAAUUUUUUCCAUAAAAUGUCUCGCUAUACAAUUUUUUCCACAAUAACCUAUCUCGCGCGGAUGAAAUAUUUUGAAAAUCUCCAUCAUUGAAAAACCAUAUUAGGAACCUCGGUUGGUGGAAAAAGUUGAAAGUUCGGGACUUUUUAGGAGAAAAUGAAAGUUCGGGAUAUUUUAUGGAAAAUGCUGAAAGUUCAGGACAUAAAACACUAUUAACCCUAUAUAGAAUAAAGAACUAGGGGAAUACAACUUAUGCUUUAUGUUGCCUUGGUCAUUUAGAAAAAAAUCUAAAAACUUUUUAUUUCCAUAUAAUACCUGUACCUAAUGCAUAUGUUGCUCAUAUCACUCACGUUAACUAAUUAGUGAGGGAAAAAAAAAAAAAAAACGUAUACAGAAACACUACGUAGAAUUCAUGUUGUAACUGUAUUAACUGUAUAGAUUAUGAUAGUAUCUCCUAACAUCCCAUGCUGAUUAUUAUUCUUCCAACUUCCCCUCAGGCGCUAGCUUUCACCAAAAACAAAAGAAAACAACAGUAGAAAAUUUUGGAAGGAAUGAACUCUGCUCGAAAACUACUCAAUUGUAGUGAAGAAAGUAAGAAAUGCACAAGCAAAUGAUCGUUAUUAAUGGUGAAACUAGAUUGUUCAGUCAUCAUAAGCAUAGAGACGAAAAUGUUAGAGAUACUUAAAACAUUUUUAAUCUAAUAAAGCACAACACCAACCAUACAUCCAUAUUGAAGAACUUGAUCUCGCACUGUCAUUGGCUCUAUUCCCCUGCCUGCACAUUGGCUCUAAUAUUUUAAACUCUUCUUUUGGCAUUGAAUCAAAUCGCUGAUACCAAAAAAUAAAACUUGCCUCUUAAGUGUAGCUACCAGCUCGAUCACUUGGUAUCACACGCAGGACCUAUGAUGAGAUUGAAUGGUACCUCAAUCUCCUUGGCGAGGCUGACAUUUUUGAAACCCACAGAGCGGUGGAAGGAUUUCUUGGCGAUGGCGUUGGUGAAGCAUUUGUCUAUGGUGUCCUCGACCGCGUACACCGCAUCCCUCAUCUGCCUCUCCAGCAGGGACGGAGCCAGGAAUUAAGUUCGGGGGCAGCCCCCGAGAAAUUUUUUUUGGGCAUUCUGUAUAUUUAAGGUAUUUUUUUAUUAAAAUACGAGCAUAAUACUAAUAAUAACGAACAAUAUUUUCAUAGAUUAUAUAGUUUCAAUAUAUCACAAAACUUUUUUUGGACAUUCCGUAUAUUUAAGACAUUUUUUAUUAAAAGGAAAGCAUGAUAAUAAUAAUAACAAACAACAUGUUCAUAGAUUAUAUAUUUUCUAUAUAUUACAAAUUAGUUUCAAUACAUUAUAUUUUUUUUUUGCAUUUCAUACAUAUUAGGCAUUUUUUUAUUAAAAGACAAGUAUAAUAGUAAUAAUAACGAACAAUAUUUCAUAGAUUAUAUAGUUUUAAAUAACAGAAUUAUCCUUAAAUUAAGUAUAUAUGAGAGAAUAUAAUAACCAAAUACUCUUUUAUAAAACAAAAUUAAUUUAUAAUAGGUAUAAACAUAUAUCUAUAUAUAUUUUAAAAUUUAAAAAAAAAAAAAAACUACAAAAUUUAGGAGGGGGCUCUAGCCCCCCUAGCCCCCCUGGCUCCGUCAGUGCUCUCCAGUAUCCUUAACGGAUCUUCCUUCUUCUUCUUCUCCGCCAUCUGCUUGAGGAAACCUUUGAGUGAAGCCAGGUCGCUCUUCAGCUGCUCCAACUCAUUCUCCGCCCCGAAGAUCAGAUCGGCGUACCCUAUCACCACCUCCUUCACUUGCUCCAGCAAGAAUGCCACUGCAGCCUCCCCCAUCUCAAUUCUCCAAGGGAGAGAGAGAGUGUGUGAGUGUGUGUGAGAGAGAGAGAGAGACUGGUUAUUGUAGUUGAAUUUCAAACUAUGGUCUUAUUGUGGGGCUGAGCAUUCGGGCAAUUUGGGUUGAAAACGAACCGUAGUGGAAAAAUCCGAACCCAAACCGCCCCUAAAUUUUUAAACCGAACCAAACCGUUUCAGUUGCUCAAACCGAACAGUAAAUUUUUAGUUUGGUUUGAUUCGAUUUGGCAUAAACCGUUUCAAUUUUUUUUUAAAGGAGAGAGAGAGAGUAUUCGGGAGAGAGUGUGUGUGUGAGAAAGAGAGGUACUGUGGUUAUUGUAGUUGAAAGUUCAAACUAUGGUCUAGUAGGGAAUAUAGUAGGAAUGAGCAACGAAGAUAAUUCACUUUCCACAAAAAAGUCCAAUAAUUGAGGAGAGAGAGAAAAAAAAACAUUUGCGCAAACUUGCACUGAUAUUGAUAUCGAUGUCAGUGGUUUCACACUGAACGGAUAAAUUUCUUUGGCGUUUUCUUGGGCAGAGGAUGUUCGGCACUGGUACCCUUGCACGGAGUCUCGUGGGCGGUACAUCACAAACUAUCCAUUCACAGCACAUUGAUGCUCGAUUUGAAGAGCUGCAGCAGCAGCUUCAAGAGGAUCGUGAGCAUAGACUCCGUAAAUCCCUCGGUAAAUUUACCGAGGAAAAUUUCCCACGGUAAUAAUUUUAUCGAAUUUAACGACGGGCUCUUUUAAUCGGUGAUCUCUCGGUAAACAAUAUUACCGAAGGAAAUUAUAUAUUUACCGAGGGAAAUUUUCCUCGUUAAAAAAUUAAUUUUUUGUUGUGAUUUUACAUAAGAAAUUUUCCUAUAGAAAUUUUAUGCGUUGACUUUUUUAUGAGUUCGUGCAAAAGUUGUUCCCAUUGGUUGUCAUUAAAUAAAAAGUAAUGUUAAUUGUCGAUAAGGCACUCUCUUUUGUUUUCAUCUUUUUAAGAUGUAGAAUUGUGAAUUGCUUAUUUAAUUAUAUAUUAGAUACCUUUUGUAAUUCUAAAAAAAAUACUACUAUCAUCUUUACAAUCCAACAUUUAAAAAAAAAGUAAUGUUAUUGUAAUUAAAAAAAAAUAUUACAAACGACAAUGAUGGAAUUGAUAUUUUUUUAUUGUAAUUUUAUUUAAAUUAUUGUAAUUUUUUUUAAUUCAUAUAUGGUUAAUUUUUUAUUUUAAUUAAAAUUUUAUUGUUAAAAUUAAAUACAUACACACAUGGAAUUGAUAAGCUUGGGCUGGGACCCAAUAUAAUUAUAUAUAGGAUAUUUUAUUAUUAGCUUUAUUGGCGUGCGUUUACUUUUACGAAAACUAGUGGAAGCCAUGUGUUUUCACACUUCUUUCAUAAUUUUCAAGUGGUUGAUUGCUCAUUCUUAAUAAUUACAAUCUUCGGUUGCUUUGUUUCUUGCUACAAUUCUUCCACACAAUUGCAUUCAAAAUCAUCAAUAGAUCGAUUUUACCAUUACAUUAUACACAUCUUUUCAAAUCAUUUACUAAAAUUCUUGAAUGUGGUUUUGAAUGUUUCUGAAAUUGUAUCAAAACCAGCUGCCGCCGCCUUCGAGAGGUAAGCAGAGAGCUGAGAUCUAUCAUUUGUUUCGUCUGCGUUUGCUUAUUAUAAUUCCUUCUUCUUCUUCUUCGUUUCUUUCUUAGGCAACUGAAUUUUAUUCUGGGUUAAUUGCAGUUUAGUUUAAGCUUCAUUUUGGAGGAAAAUUGCAGAGCUAAGCAAUUUCAUUUCAACAAUAUAUCGUAUCUCAGCUGAUAAUUUGGGUAUGGCGGCUUUUGGUGCGGCGGCUUCUCUCAAGAAUACGAUUCUGCGUAUUCUGGAAUCGUCUCGCAUUUCUCUCGUUUCCCACUCUCCACAAAUCUUGCAACCUGCCUACGACCAGAUGGAUCGCUUGCAGAAAGUUCUGCUCAAAUUGGACGAGACCAGCUGCAGCAAGAUCAGGACGGAGGUGAAUGCUUUGGAUGAACUCAUAAAAGAGGCAGUUUGGGAAUUCGAAGAUUUACUCGAAUCCCAUAUCUUACCUCAGAUUCUUCCACAGCUCGAAAGCGGGAGAAACAACUUGUCAUUCUGUGUAGAUCUGCAGAGUCUGCAACACCAUGUUGAUUGCUUCAUCGAGAUGAUGGAGAUGAUGGAGGAAGAGUACAUCAUUGAAAUGGAGAAUAUGGCUGAAGAAGAAGGCGAGCCUGUUUCCUCAAGAAUCAAUUUUGGUGGAAUUAUCAAAUCAAAGAUGGUUGGCUUAUCUGAUGAAUUUCAAAAAGCUAUAGAUUAUCUCCUUGAAGAAAAUAUCUACUAUUCGAUUAUUGGGAUGGCGGGCGUUGGAAAGACAACUCUUGCUAAGCAUAUUUUUGAAGAUCCAUCAAUUCGGAGCCAUUUUGAGUUUCGAGCAUGGGUCAAAGUGGGCAGAAAAUGCGAACCCAAUGAACUAUUACGUUGCGUUCUAGCUCAAGUGGAUCCCAACGCUUACCGAAUGCUUGCCCAAGGAGAAGAUGAUGAUGAGGAAUUAGUCGGACUAUUGAAAGAAAAAUUGCAGGAUAAGAAAUGCCUCAUCGUGUUGGAUGAUGUUUGGGAGGAACAAGCAGUGGAUCGCUUGAUAAAUUGCUUGCGAGAAAUGAAUACUCUUGGAUGGAUUCAGUUCUUACUUACAAGUAGACGACCAUACAUGCAGCAUGGGCGCAUGAGAUUGAGCUUGUUGAAUGAAGGUGUUUGGUGAGAAGGUGUUUAGUGAAGGCGGUUUCCCUCCUCAACUUGAGGAACUGGGAGAGAAGAUUGCUGAGAAAUGUGAAGGUCUUCCUCUUAUGAUAGUCACAGUUGCAGAGCUCCUAUCAAAAGCCGACAAGACCCCAGAAUACUGGACUGAGGUAGCCUACAAACAACACAACUCACUUUUCAUGGAUGCAUAUAAUCAAAUAUCAGAGGUACUUUUCCCAAGUUAUGACUACUUACCCCAACAUUUAAAAAUGUUUUUCCUCUAUAUGGGAGCUUUCCCUCCAUAUACUGAUCAGAAUCCAUUCCAUAUCAAUAAUCUUUUGGGUGCUGAGGGAUUUCUUGAACUGAACGAUGUUAGAAAAAGUUUUGAAGAUUUAUGGGACAAGCUUUCUAACUCGUAUCAUCUUGUUCUCGACACAAAAAAUUUGUGGUAUUCCAAUAGACGUUAUCGCGUGCAUUCUUGUUGGCAGCACUUAUGUAAGGUAGAAGCUAGUAGGAUCAAGUUUCUACAUGUCUUACGAGGUUGUGAUGAUGUUAUAAAAGAUCAGCGCCGCUUGUGUGCCCAUUGGAACAGUUUAUUUGGCUUCAAACAAGUGUAUGAUUUGAUAAAAAGUGAUUGUGCAUCCACUGCCCGUUCUCUCCUUUGUUUUGGUCCUUAUCACCCAUAUCCAAUCCCAAUACAUGCCAUGGGUUUCAAGUUGCUCAGGGUACUAUAUGCUCUUAGAGUUCGAUUUUACCAUAUCCCAAUUGAAAUUUUGAAACUUGUUUGUCUGCGGUACCUUUCCCUAAAAUGCAACGGGGAGCUCCCUCCUUCCAUAUCCAACCUUUUUAACCUUCAAGUCUUGAUUAUCAAUCCACAUAUUUACAUUAAAAAGCGUGGAGUUCAGUCUUAUAUGCCUGUGCAAAUUUGGAACAUGCAAGAACUAGAGCAUCUUGAGAUAAGGGGAAGGGACAUACCAACCCCUAAUACUGAUGAUGCUACCUUGAACAUACUCAGCUCACUUUAUGGUGUGAGUGCAAACAGUUGUACAAUGGAAGUUCUCAAAAGUAUUCCUAAUUUAAAGGAAUUAGGAAUUCAAGUGGAGUUGAAGCCUUAUGAUGACGACGAUGAUGAUGAAAGAAACCCAUCGAGUUGCUUGGGUUAUAUCUCCCAACUCCAGAAUCUGGAGAGACUUGAAUAUUGGGUUAGCAAUCCUGAGAUAAAGUAUGAGUGUAAUACGAUUUCUCUUUCAAUGUUUCCCCCAAGUCUGAAGGUGUUAACGUUGUCUGGGUUAGGGGGUAGUCCUUGGAAUUACAUGAAUGACAUUGGUUUGCUGCUGCCAAAUCUCGAGAUUCUCAUAUUAGACCACUAUGCAUUUCGAGGCCCAGAGUGGGACAUAACAUCGGGGAGUUUUUUGAAACUUAUUGAACUUGUAAUUGAAGACACCGAUUUGGUGCGAUGNNNNNNNNNNNNNNNNNNNNNNNNNNNNNNNNNNNNNNNNNNNNNNNNNNNNNNNNNNNNNNNNNNNNNNNNNNNNNNNNNNNNNNNNNNNNNNNNNNNNNNNNNNNNNNNNNNNNNNNNNNNNNNNNNNNNNNNNNNNNNNNNNNNNNNNNNNNNNNNNNNNNNNNNNNNNNNNNNNNNNNNNNNNNNNNNNNNNNNNNNNNNNNNNNNNNNNNNNNNNNNNNNNNNNNNNNNNNNNNNNNNGUGUUUGAGAUUGUCCAUCUAUCGAUUUUCAGGCAAAUGAAACAGACGAUCGAGAGUUGCUUCCUCUGCCGCAGGUGAGUUUCUGCUGUCUGUAGAUUACUAGUAACUUGUUCAACAAAUGUCGAGGCCUUUGAAUUACGAGCUGCUGUUUUUGAAGAUCUCUUCGCAGGAGUUCACUUGUUCAAGGCGCCAUAAGGUAACUUCUUUAUAAUGCAUAACCAAUAAAUGAAUCGAUUAACUUGAAAGUAUUGGGCUCGUUAGCUUGCAACACGUUCGUGUACAGCAUUGUGAGCAUCAUAUAUUGCUACUCGUUGACCUCUUUGCAUUAUAGGUAUGAAUCGCCUUAUUGGUGAGGAAUUGCAGGUAGACGGAUCCAACUCGCGUGGAGAUGCAGAAAGAAGCAAACGAAUCGAGCUGAGUCAAGCCGAGUAGAUUCCUCAAGCUCACCGUCGUCUCAGACUAGAAGCAGACGCAGAUAAGACUUGUUGGAGUAACGGAUUCUAGCCAACUGAGGUUCGAUAGCGUGUUCGUGCUCGUACGUAAGAUGAGGUUCCUCUCUUCCACUCUGCCGAAGCCAUUGUGUAGAUGUUGCUAACUCAUAUCAAGUGCUCUUGAUUUUAGAUCGAGUUAUAGAAUUAAUCAAGAUUUGAUGUUAAUUUUAUUAGUAACCGUAGGGGUUGUUGGUUUAGCUAUGAAGUAAACUUUUUUUUUGAUAAAUUACAGCAUUAAAUAAAGAAAUUUAAAGACCGCGUCACAUGAGACUCGAACUCAAGACUAAUUGGGCUUCUCUAUAUAAUAAAUAAGUUUCCGGCCCAAUACAAAAUAUAAGCCCAGCUCCAUCGUUUAUCUUUUAAAUUCUGCCUAACUAUAAUCCAUUUUUAUUCCUUGAAUUGAUAACAAAGAAGCAAUUAAAACACCAAUUUACUCAAAUUAAGCUCAACAAUUCAACAUCAAAAUCCAGAUUUUGAGUUGGGCUGAAUUCCCCAUGGCAUAAUUUUCUUCUAUUCGGACUUGGGCCCAAUAUGUAUAUAAUACACAAAAAAGUAACCUUAAAAUAAAAUAUGUACGUAAUAGGAGUAAAACUAACAGAAAACAUUAUAUGUGAUGCUGAGGCAAUUAAGAAAAAUAAAGUGUGUGCAUUUUAAUUUCCACAUCAAAUACAUAUCUUAAGUUUGUGAAAUGCUAUUGUGUUUUAAGACUGAGGAAAAUAAUUAAAUUAUACUUCCUCCGUCCUCAAAUUAUAACUUCAUAGAAGGAAGGAACACGAGUUUUAAGACGAAAAAGUAAAAAGAUGAAAAGUAAGGAUAAAUGGGGUAUUGAGAGUGGUGAAAAGAUGAAAAAUAAGGGUAAAUGAGGAAUUAAUUGUGGUGGAGUAGUGCCCAAAUAUAGAAAGAUUUUUUUUUUGAACGGACCGAAAAUAAAAGUUAGAAAGUUAUUUGCGGACGGAGGAGUAUGUAUGUUUAGAAUAUCUAGCAAAACCAAUAAAAGAUCACCAUGAACUAUAAUCUUUUUAUCCCUCAAUCCAUCUCACAUUUGAAUUUUCCUGUAUAUAAAUUCAUUAGAAUUUAUAUAUACACUAAUAUAAAAAAAAUGUGUUGGGCACAAACUAUAGAUUGUCUAUUAUAUUCAUAUUACAUACUCCCUUCGUCCCCUAAAUAACUUCUUAGUAGGGGACGACACGAGUUUUAAAGAAAAAUUGUUAAGUGUAUUGAUAAAAAAAAAACUUUUAUAAUUAAUAUUGAAAGUGGUGAAAAUGUGUUAUAAUUAAUAUUGAGAAUGAUGGAAGGUUGAAAAGUAAUAAUAAAUAAAGUAUAUUAGUGGUAGGGUAAUGUCCCAAAAUGAAUAUGAAGUUAUUUGGGGGACUGAAGGAGUAUUUAAUUUUAAGAGUAAUUAUAUAAAGUAUAUAUUAUAUAUCUAGAAGAAUAUAUUAAUUCAUUAGACAUUAAAGUACUACAAAAAUAUGUCAAUUAAUUAUAUUACCUUAUCAUAAAUCUAUUUGAUGAAUCUGAAAAUCUUUUUAGAAUCCUGAAAAAAUAUCCUAUGAAAUCUAACUAUUAACUAAAUAAAUGAAAAUUCAAUAUUAUAUAAAUAAAUAGGUUACAUAUAAAGUGUACUCCCUCCGUCCCACGAAUCUUGAUACGCUUGGUUUCAGCACGGGAAUUAAGAAGUUGUAGAUUAGUAUUUUAAGUGUGUAGUUAAUGAAGUAUAAAAGUGAUAAAGUAGGAGAGAAAAUGUAAUAUAAGUGAUAAAGUUAAUCGAUAGCGUGUUCGUGCUCGUAAAAUGAGUUUCUCUCUUCCACUCUGCAGAAGCCAUUGUGUAGAUGUUGCUAACUCAUAUAUAUAAAGUGCUCUUGAUUUUAGAUCGAGUUGUAGAAAUCAAGAUUUGAUGUUAAUUUCAUUGCACUUAAAUAUUUGUUUUUCUAACUAGUGGUAAUAAUAUGUGUUCUAUUUUAAGUCACAGGCUGUUCCCUCAAAGUUGAGAGUUUGCAUUAUUUUUAUCAAGCAGUUUGAUCGAUUUUGAAUUAUUUAGAUUAUCACAAGGAUUUGCAUAGGUCUGCCUUGCAAUAUUACUUAAUGUUUCUGUUAUAGUCACAGUGUUUGAGAUUGUCCAUCUACCGAUUUUCAGGCAAGUGAGACGUCGCGUUAUCCCAUGAUUUCGAUUGGAUUGUGAAACUUGAGUGCUGAAUUGUGUUUGUAAUCAAAAUUGUUGUAAGUUGGAUUUGUGUGAAAACAUUAAUCGCUUAUUCAGUUCAAGGAUUGUAAUAUUUGUGAGUUAAGCAUAGUUUUAACUUUGUUUUCAUAUUGUGUGUAAUCAGUUUAUGUGUUUUUGGCUUAAAAAUAUAUAGCUUAAAAUUUUAACAUUAUGGCAAUAUACUAAUUAAUUUCUGGCUUCAUUUUUCAAAUUCAUGAGAUCCCUCAGUAGAAGCUCAUCAAUGUGAACAUUUGCUGAGAUGAAGUAUUUGGAUGAACUUUUUCCAAUAGGGCGUGUUUGAUAUUGGCUAAUACACUGUAUUAGCUAAUUUAGUACAGAUCAGUCUAGUGUUUGGUAUUAUUUAGUAAUAAUGUGGAUGACCCGGUUUAAUCCCACGACCCAGUAUUAUUAAUCCAGAUUUCUUAGGAUUAAUUAUACCACCUCUCCCCUAGGAUUAACUUAAACCAAGAUAUUCUGUAUUUAGCCAUGAUAGCAAACACCAACUCAAUAUUAAUAAUCUGUCAUUAUCCACGCUAAAUAUCCUAAUUACAAAUUAUCCAACAUAAUCCUUUACUGAAAACCAAAGAACCCAUGCUGUUGCCGUCUUCUUUUUCUUAUUUUAUCAGUGAUGACUACAGAAAAGCCAUGAUUUGGUGGGAGUUUGUAUGAACAAAAUUAUUGUGGUAAUUAAGUUUGUUCUUCUCCGUUGUAAAUAAAUAACUGCAGGAGUUGUGAGGUUAAAAAUGUUGUUGAUUUAACUAUGAAGAAAAGAAAAGAAUUGAUUAAUUAUCAUUCAUAAAAUUUCUAAAGGCCCAACUGGGCUUCUUCACAUAAUAAACAAAAUUUCGGCCCAAUACAAAAUCAAGGCCCAACUCCAUCGUUUAUCUUUUAAAUUCGGCCUCACUAUUAAAUUAAAAGGCAUCAAAUUCAACUCAAUUUCGUUAGAAGACAUUUCAAAAUCCAUGGCACUUUGGGGUAUGAAAGAAAAUUACUAUCACUUUCAAUUUGGAUUUAAAUGAUUGAAAUAAGAGAAGACUAAAUAAUUCAUAAAUUUCGACCCCUUUUGGAUUUUAUUAUUUUUAAUAAGUUAUUUUUUCAUAAUUAAAUUAAGUUUCACAAUUCUUUACUUCUUUAAUUAGUUUAAUUGCCACAUAACUAAUUAUGAUCUUUCGAGCCUUGAAAAAAAAAAAAAAAAAAAACCCAAGUUAAAAAAUGUGUUGCAAAUAGGGCUGUAUACGAACCGAGCCGAGCCGAAUACCUCCAGGCUCGGGCUCGGUUCGUUAAGAUUUGGUUCGGCUCGAGCUCGAAUUCGAGCCUAAAAAUGAGCUCGAGCUCGGCUCGCUCAUAUAAUACCAAGCUCGAGUUUGGUUCGAAUUCGGCUCGUUAAUUAUUCGUUUAUCUCGAGCUCGAGCUCGGCUCGUUAAUUAUUCGUUUAUCUCGAGCUCGGCUCGAAUUUAAAGCUCGAUUUCAAAUUCAAACUCGAAUUCGAGCUCGGUUCGAAUUAUUUAUAUAUUAAGGUUUCAUUAAAAUAAAAAAAUUAUAUUUGUUCAUAUAUUACUAGACUAUUUAUGAAUCAUAAUUUAUAAUUUAUUUUUAACAAAUAGAUAAUUUAUCAAGUUAGUAGUAAUUUUUUUUUUUAAUUAUGAGUGUUAUUUUUAUUAUUUAAAAAAUAUUUAACAAAUAAAAUAUAUAUAAUUAUUAUUUAAUGAACCUAUUCGCGAGCCUAUUCGCGAACAUAUUCGUGAACCUAUUCGUGAGCCUUUUCGCAAACAUAUUCGCAGCCUAUUCGCGAAUGGCUCGCGAAUAGGUUCGAGCCGAACAUGUUCACGAGCUCACGAGCCGAACAUGCACAGGCUCGAGUUCGGCUCGAUAAUUUUAUCGAGCUCGGAUUCGGGCUCGAGUUCGGCUCGUUUAGAAAAUGAACGAAUUUCGAACGAGCUUUUUUCGAGCCGAGCCCCGAAUAGUUCACGAGCGGCUUGGUUCGUUUACACCCCUAGUUGCAAACACUACGAAUAAUUUUCCAACAUGAGGUAGGUGUAUUAAUUUAAAUAUGAUCACAAAAAUAUGAUCACAUUAAAAUAUGAUCUCAUAAUUAUAUAUAGGAUACUUUAUUAUUAGCUUUAUUGGCGUGCGUUUUCUUUUACGAAAAGUAGAGGAAGCCAUGUGUUUUCACACUUCUUUCAUAAUUUUCAAGUGGUUGAUUGCUCAUUCUUCAUAAUUACAAUCUUCGGUUGCUUUGUUUCUUGCUACAAUUCUUCCACACAAUUGCAUUCAAAAUCAUCAAUAGAUCGAUUUUACCAUUACAUUAUACACAUCUCUUCAAAUCAUUUACUAAAUUCUUGAAUGUGGUAUUGAAUGUUUCUGAAAUUGUAUCAAAACCAGCUGCCGCCGCCGAGAGGUAAGCAGAGAGCUGAGAUCUAUCAUUUGUUUCAUCUGCGUUUGCUUAUUAUAAUUCCUUCUUCUUCUUCUCCGUUUCUUUGUUAGGCGACUGAAUUUUAUUCUGGGCUAAUUGCAGUUUAGUUUAAGCUUCAUUUUGGAGGAAAAUUGCAGAGCUAAGCAAUUUCAUUUCAACAAUAUAUCGUAUCUCAGCUGAUAAUUUGGGUAUGGCGGCUUUUGGUGCGGCGGCUUCUCUCAAGAAUACGAUUCUGCGUAUUCUACAAUCGUCUCGCAUUUCUCUCGUUUCCCACUCUCCACUAAUUGGACGAGACCAGCAGCAGCAAGAUCAGGACAGAGGUGAAUGCUUUGGAUGAACUCAUAAAAGAGGCAGUUUGGGAAUUCGAAGAUUUACUCGAAUCCCAUAUCUUACCUCAGAUUCUUCCACAACUCCAAAGCGAGAGACACAACUUGUCAUUCUCUGUAGAUCUGCAAAGUUUGCAACACCAUGUUGAUUGCUUCGUCGAGAUGGUGAAGAUGAUGGAGGAAGAGUACACUAAUGAAAUGGAGAAUAUGGCUGAAGAAGAAGGCGAGCCUAUUUCCUCAAGAAUCGAUUUUGGUGGAAUCAACUCAAAGAUGGUUGGAAAAUCUUAUGCAUUUCAAGACGCCAGAGAUAAUCUUCUUGAAGAUAAACACUAUUCGAUUAUUGGGAUGGCGGGCGUUGGAAAGACAAAUCUUGCUAAACAUCUUUUUGAAGAUCCAUCAAUUCGGAGCCAUUUUGAGUUUCGAGCAUGGGUCAAAGUGGGCAGAAAAUGCGAGCCCAAUGAACUAUUACGCUGCGUUCUAGCUCAAGUGGAUCCCAACGCUUACCGAAUGCUUGCCCAAGGAGAUGAUGAUGAUGAGGAAUUAGUUGGACUAUUGAAAGAAAAAUUGCAGGAUAAGAAAUGUCUCAUCGUGUUGGAUGAUGUUUGGGAGACACAAGCAAUAAGUCGCAUGAUAAAUUGCUUGAAAGAAGGGAAUAUUCGUGGAGGGAUUGGAUACUUGCUUACAAGUAGACAACAAAUAACACUCCCGCAGCUUACGGGCAUAAGACUGAACUUGUUGAAUGAAGAAGAAAGUAAGAAAUUACUUGGUGAGAAGGUGUUUGGUGAGAAGGUGUUAGUGAAGACGGUUUCCCUCCCAACUUGAGAAUGGAGAGAAGAUUGCAGAAAUGUGAAGGCUUCCUCUUAUGAUAGUCACGUUGCAGAGCUCCUAUCAAAAGCCGACAAGACCCAGAAUAUGGACUGAGGUAGCCUGCAAACAACAAUCACUUUCGGGAGCAUAUAAUCAAAUAUCAGAGGUCUUUUCCCAAGUAUGACUAUUACCCCAACAUUUAAAAAUGUUUCCUCUAUAUGGGACUUUCCCUCCAUAUAUAUCAUACCACAUACACUUAUGUUGGUGCUGAGGCUUCUUAAUGAAUGUUGAAAAAGUUUGAGGUUUUGGGAAAAGCUUUCUAGGUAUCAUCUUGUUCUCGACACAAAAAUUGUGGUUGAAUAAGAGUAUCGCGUGCAUUCUGUUGGCAGCACUUUGUAAGGUAGAAGCUAGAGAUCAAGUUUCUACAUGUCUUACGAGGUUGUGAGAUGUAAAAAGACCAGCGCGCUUGUGUGCCCAUUACAACAGUUUAUUUGCUUCAAACAAGUGUAUGAUUCGAUAAAAAGUGAUUGUGCAUCCACUGCCCGUUCUCUCCUUUGUUUGGUCCUUAUCACCAUAUCCAAUCCCAAUACAUGCCAUGGGUUUCAAGUUGCUCAGGGUACUAUAUGCUCUUAGAGUUCGAUUUUACCAUAUCCCAAUUGAAAUUUUGAAACUUGUUUGUCUGCGGUACCUUGCCCUAAAUUGCAACGGGGAGCUCCCUCCUUCCAUAUCCAACCUUUUUCACCUUCAAUUCUUGAUUAUCGAUCCACAUAUGUACAUUAAAAAGCGUGGAGUUCAGUCUUAUAUGCCUGUGCAAAUUUGGGACAUGCAAGAACUAGAGCAUAUUCAGAUUUGGGGAAGGACCUACCAACCCCUAAUACUGAUGAUGCUACCUUGAACAAACUCAUCUCACUUGUUGGUGUGAGUGCAAACAGUUGUACAAGGGAAGUUCUCAAAAGAAUUCCUAAUUUAAAGGAAUUAAAUUGAAGUGGAGUUGAAGCCUUAUGAUGAUGAUGAUGAUGAAAGAAACCCAUUGAGUUGCUUGGGUUAUAUCUCCCAACUCCAGAAUUUGGAGAGACUUGAAUAUUGGGUUAACAAUCCCGAGAUAAAGUAUGAGUGUAAUACGAUUCCUCUUUCAAUGUUUCCAUCAAGUCUCAAGGUGUUACGUUUGUCUGGGUUAGGGGGGUAUCCUUGGAAUUACAUGAAUGACAUUGGUUCGCUGCUGCCAAAUCUCGAGAUUCUCAUAUUACGUUGCUAUGCAUUUCGAGGCCCAGAGUGGGACAUAACACCGGGGAGUUUUUUGAAACUUAUUGAACUUCGAAUUGAAGACACCGAUUUGGUGCGAUGGAGACCUCAACGUGGAAGCUUCCCGGAGCUUCGUAGACUAAGCAUGCGGCAUUGCUACAAAUUACAACAGCUCGAUUGGCCGUAUGACCACUCUUGGAUAGAGAUCAUUGAUUUACGCGAGUGCAAUCCUUUAGCUGUCGCUUGUGCCAAGGAAUUAAAAGACAAGUUUUCCUUUCAACUUUCGUCAAAUCUUCUUUUUGAGGUCAAGUGGAUCUGCAACUUGCCAACAGGUUAGUCUUACUACUUUGCAAUAUCAAGUCUUAAUGUUUCUGUUAUAGUCACAGUGUUUGAGAUUGUCCAUCUAUCGAUUUUCAGGCAAAUGAAAGAGACGAUCGAGAGUUGCUUCCCCUGCCGCAGGUGAGUUUCUGCUGUCUGUAGAUUACUAGUAACUUGUUUAACAAACGUCGAGGCCUUUGUAUUACGAGCUGCUGUUUUUGAAGAUCUCUUCGCAAGAUUCUUAAGGAGUUCACUUGUUCAAGGCGCCAUAAGGUAACUUCUUUAUAAUGCAUAACCUAUAAAUGAAUCGAUUAACUUGUAAGUAUUGGGCUCGUUAGCUUGCAAACACGUUCGUGUACAAUUUUCAAUAUCAAAAACCAGAUUUUGAGUUGGGCUGAAUUCCCCAUGGCAUAAUUUUCUUCUAUUCCGACUUGGGCCCAAUAAUUAUAUAAUACACAAAAAAUAACCUUAAAAUAAAAUAUGUACGUAAUAGGAGUAAAACUAACAGAAAACAUUAUAUGUGAUGCUGAGGCACUUAAGAAAAAUAAAGUGUGUGCAUUUUCCACAUCAAAUACAUAUCUUAAGUUUGUGAAAUGCUAUUGUGUUUUAAGACUGAGGAAAAUAAUUCAAUUAUACUUCCUCCGUCCUCAAAUUAUAACUUCAUAGAAGGAAGGAACACGAGUUUUAAGACGAAAAAGUUAAAAGAUGAAAAGUAAGGAUAAAUGGGGUAUUGAGAGUGGCGAAAAGAUGAAAAAUAAGGGUAAAUGAGGAAUUAAUUGUGGUGGAGUAGUGCCCAAAUAUAGAAAGAUUUUUUUUUUGAACGGACCGAAAAUAAAAGUUAGAAAGUUAUUUGCGGACGGAGGAGUAUGUAUGUUUAGAAUAUCUAGCAAAACCAAUAAAAGAUCACCAUGAACUAUAAUCUUUUUAUCCCUCAAUCCAUCUCACAUUUGAAUUUUCCUAAAAAAGGUAUAUAAAUUCAUUAGAAUUUAUAUAUACACUAAUAUAAAAAAAAUGUGUUGGGCACAAACUAUAGAUUGUCUAUUAUAUUCAUAUUACAUACUCCCUUCGUCCCCAAAUAACUUCUUAGUAGGGGACGACACGAGUUUUAAAGAAAAAUUUUAAGUGUAUUGAUAAAAAAAAAGUUUUAUAAUUAAUAUUGAAAGUGGUGAAAAUGUGUUAUAAUUAAUAUUGAGAAUGAUGGAAGGUUGAAAAGUAAUAAUAAAUAAAGUAUAUUAGUGGUGGGGUAAUGUCCCAAAAUGAAUAUGAAGGUAUUUGGAGAACUGAAGGAGUAUUUAAUUUUAAGAGUAAUUAUAUAAAGUAUAUAUUAUAUAUCUAGAAGAAUAUAUUAAUUCAUUAGACAUUAAAGUACUACAAAAAUAUGUCAAUUAAUUAUAUUACCUUAUCAUAAAUCUAUUUGAUGAAUCUGAAAAUCUUUUUAGAAUCCUGAAAAAAUAUCCUAUGAAAUCUAACUAUUAACUAAAUAAAUGAAAAUUCAAUAUUAUAUAAAUAAAUAGGUUACAUAUAAAGUGUACUCCAUCCGUCCCACGAAUCUUGAUACGCUUGGUUUCAGCACGGGAAUUAAGGAGUUGUAGAUUAGUAUUUUAAGUGUGUAGUUAAUGAAGUAUAAAAGUGAUAAAGUAGGAGAGAAAAUGUAAUAUAAGUGAUAAAGUUAAUCGAUAGCGUGUUCGUGCUCGUAAAAUGAGUUUCUCUCUUUCACUCUGCAGAAGCCAUUGUGUAGAUGUUGCUAACUCAUAUAUAUAAAGUGCUCUUGAUUUUAGAUCGAGUUGUAGAAAUCAAGAUUUGAUGUUAAUUUCAUUGGACUUAAAUAUUUGUUUUUUUUAACUAGUGGUAAUAAUAUGUGUUCUAUUUUAAGUCACAGGCUAUUCCCUCAAAGUUGAGAGUUUGCCUUAUUUUUAUCAACCAGUUUGAUCGAUUUUGAAUUAUUUAGAUUGUCACAAGGAUUUUGCAUAGGUCUGCCUAAUAUCUUUGCAAUAUCACAUUUUUUAAUGUUCUUAUUAUAUUCACAGUGUUUGAGAUUGUCCAUCUACCGAUUUUCAGGCAAAUGAGAUAGCCGAUCAAAGGGGUCAGGCGUUGCGUUAUCCCAUAAUUUCGAUUGUUGUAUUACCACAUUGUCGUAUGAAUUUAAGGAUUGUGAAACCUGAGUGCUGAAUUUUGUUUGUAACCAAAAUUGUUGUAAGUUGGAUUUGUGUGAAAACAUGAGUCCCUUAUUCAGUUCAAGGAUUGUAAUAUUUGUGAGUUCUGCAUAGUUUUAACUUUGUUUUCAUAGUGUGUAUGUGUGGUUAAAGAUGUUGUUGAUUUAGCUAUGAAGAAGAAUCUGAUAUUCUGAUUAAGAGCUCUUGUUGUCUAAGAAGAAAAGAAUUGAUGAAUUAUCAUUCAUAAAAUUGGGCUUCUUCAUAUAAUAAACAAAAUUUCGGCCCCAUACAAAAUCAAGGCCCAACCUCCAUCAUUUAUCUUUUAAAUUUUGCCUCAGUGUCAAAUUAAAAGGCAUCAAAUUCAACUCAAUUUCUUUAGAAGACAUUCAAAUUAAAUCCAUGGCACUUUAGAUAUUCCACCGGUUAUCUUGUUAUAUUUAUGGUUGAAGUCACUAUGUGGAAAAUAGGACCUAAUGGUAAAAAACAUGAAUCAAACUUUCAAUAUUUUCAGAAAGAGGACUAUAUAUUACGAAAUUUGAAAAUAAGGACUAUAUUCAACAAAGUAAUGAAUCAAUCGUAGAUCUUGAUAAUCUAAGAGCUGAAAAUGGUUCUUAUUUUAUAUUCUAAGAAGUGUUUUUAUUUUAGCUCAUCCCAUCCAACUAAUAUCUAAAAAAUUGUGGUAAGAUAUAAACAGUAGAAUGAAUCAAUUAAAUAGACCAAAUCGUUAAUUGAAUAAUUAAAUAUAAUAUAUAUUAUAUUUAUAUUUUUUAUUUUAUCAAAUAAAAUUAUAUUAAUUAUGCGUACAAAGUGACAUUUAACAUAGUAUGAAAUUUUCUAACUGAGAUAAACGUGUUAAAAGAGUGGAAAAAGUGAGAAAAUAUAUGUAUUUCAUCAUUUUUUUAUUAAAGAAAAUGCAUCCCAAGACUUUAUCAAAUUGGUUCAAAACGAGAUAGAUAUAUAUAAUAUUGAGUCACAAAAGAUUAUACUGAACAUUGUCUGAAUCGCCAUCACAUGCUUUGCAUCGAGAUCAGGUAUUGAGAGCUGUUGGCUUUUGGUCCCAUUUGCCCAUUCCAACAUUAAUUUUCUCAUAUCCCCAUGCAAACUAUUAGUUUAUUACACCCUGAUUAUUUUCCUAUUCAUCUUGAAUAUAAGGAUUAGAAAUUUCACAUUCUUGAACUUUUUGCCUUACUCAACCUAUUUGGAGGAUUGGAAGUCUUCGCUUAAAUCAUGAUAUAAUUAACCUAAAGUUAGGAUGUUAUAUUUAUAAAAGACUUAAUAUAUUAAAAUACUCACUUCCAUAAUAUGUCUAUGUAAGGGGGUGGGUAUUUUUCAUAGACAUAUUAUGGGGGUGGGUACUUUUAAUUCCACCCCUUUAUAAAAUUGGUUUUGGCCUGAAAUUCAAUAAUUAUGGACAAAAAUACAUUGGAAAAAUAUAAUUUUGUUAUAAACUAGAGAUAAACAAGAGAAUAUAGAAGAUAAUACGAAUUCAGUGUAUUCAAUAUGAGGGCCAGAAGUUAGGGUUUUAGGGAGAUUUCUUGGUCAACACACAUAACAUAUAUCUAGAUGAUAUAUUUACAACAAAUUUUAUCUUUUAACUGUUGGACUUUUAUGUUGUACCCAAAUGCAAUCUUAUUGAUUGAAAANAACUUUCGUUUAUUUUAUCAUCAGUUCUAAUAUAUUUGAUCAUCUGCUGCUAAUAUUAAGGCCACAAUCGAAAUCUCUUUAACUUGAGCUUCAAAAUCCUCAAACCAAUUUUGCAGUCCGAUACAUAAAACUCUACCUCGAAUAGUUGACGAAACUCUAAUUCUGCAACGUCAAAUUGAUGGCGUAAUAAAAAGUUAUUUAGGAGGUUUUGUAGUUCAAGUCAAAGAUAUUUUGAUUGUGGUCUCAAUUUCAGUGAUCGAUAAUCAAAUAAGUCAAAAUUGAUGCAACAACAAUUAAAAGUGUGGCAGCCCGAUUUUGCUAAGGAUAGCUAAACCGAGAAAUCAACGAUUAAGGAUGAUCGGAUUAAAGAAGUGGUGAAAAAAAAGGCAUCGAUCAUAAACACUUAAAUCUCAUUUUAAAUAAUAACCAAAUUAAAUAUGCAAGAUGUUGGAGUUAAUUUUUAACUCCAUAAAACUUUCCUAAAGUUAUAAAAUUUAAUUGUAUUGUUUUGCCUUCUUCACGUGUUAUGUUGUGUUUACGAUAACAUCUUUUUACAUCACUUGUUGGUUUUUGUAAGGUUUCGGAGUAUUAUUCUUGAACUGAGUUUUGUUCUUUAGUGAGAGUGUCAUGUGUUUAAUAUCUAUGUCAUUGCAAAGGUAUUGAACGUGAAUUGUUCAUUCUCUAAUUAGUUUUCUUGACAUAUGGUGUCUUCUUCAUUUAUUUUUGUUCCGCUACUUUAUACUCCGCGUGCUGUUCCAAUAUUCCGCACAACAUUUUGAUCCAGACGAAGCAACACUUUCACAAGAAAUGAUAGCUAAUAAAAGCCGACAAGGUGCAUAGAUAAUUUAUAUAGGAAUUCUCUAAAAAAAAUUAUUUUAUUAAAGAGGUUUUACUAUAAAGUUUAGUAAUUUAUUUGAGUAUCAUUUUAAAGAGGUUUUACUCUCCAUCUUAAAAACAUAAAAUUUGUCCACUUUUUACAAUUUCGGACUGCAUUACUCUUAAUUUGGAUGGACUGGAUCGGAUUGGGCGUGUUGAUUCAGUGUUACUUUUUGGAUUGUACUAAUGUUAGUAAUUUGUUUUGUAAAUUAUAAUAAUUUAGAAUUAGAAUACAAAUGAUUUAUAAUUUAAUUUUAUUAGAAGUUUAAUUUGCCUUAAAUCCCUGAAAUUAAAAUUAAUUAUGUAAAAUAAACUUAACAAAUAAACAUCCCGAGGCAUUCAACGAUUAGUGAUGUGCACAUGGCGUCAACAAUGUCGAGGCAUUUGUGUGAAUCAAUGCAAUUUAAAAAUAAUAAUCCUUUAACAAUGGUGGAGACCCUCAAUCAACCACUCACUUUAACAAUUCUCUUCCACCUUCAAAAUCCUAAUCCUUCCCACCACCUACCGCCGUUGCCGUUGAUAUCUCAUAUUUCAAUCAAGUUAUGGCGGCUUUUGGUGCCGCAGCUUCUCUCAAGAAUACGAUUCUGCGUAUUCUACAAUCGUCUCGCAUUUCUCUCGUUUCCCACUCUCCACAAAUCUUGCAACCUGCCUACGACGAGAUGGAUCGAUUGCAGAAAGUUCUGCUCAAAUUGGACGAGACCAGCUGCAGCAAGAUCAGGACGAAGGUGAAUGCUUUGGAUGAACUCAUAAAAGAGGCAGUUUGGGAAUUCGAAGAUUUACUCGAAUCCCAUAUCUUACCUCAGAUUCUUCCACAACUCGAAAGCGAGAGAGACAACUUGUCUUUCUCUGUAGAUCUGCAGAGUCUGCAACACCAUGUUGAUUGCUUCGUCGAGAUGGUGAAGAUGAUGGAGGAAGAGUACACAAUGAAAUGGAGAAUAUGGCUGAAGAAGAAGGCGACCUAUUUCCUCAAGAAUUGAUUCUGGUGGAAUGAUCAAUCAAGAUGGUUGGAAUCUAUGAUUAAAAAGCCAGAGAAUCUUCUUAAGAAAACUAUUCGUUUUGGGAUGGCGGGUUGGAAAGACAACUCUUGCUAACAUAUAUUUGAAGAUCCAACAAUUCGGAGCCAUUUUGAGUUUCGAGCAUGGGUCAAAGUGGGCAGAAAAUGCGAACCCAAUGAACUAUUACGCUGCGUUCUAGCUCAAGUGGAUCCCAACACUUACCGAAUGCUUGCCCAAGGAGAUGAUGAUGAUGAGGAAUUAGUUGGAUUAUUGAAAGAAAAAUUGCAGGAUAAGAAAUGCCUCGUCAUUUUGGAUGAUGUUUGGGGGGUACCAGCAGCAAAUCGCUUGACAAAUUGCUUGCGAGAAAAGAAUACUCUUGGAGGGAUUCAGCUCUUACUUACAAGUAGACAAUGUAUAAAAUACAAGCAGCAUGGGGGCAUGAGAUUGAGCUUGUUGAAUGAAGAAGAUAGUAAGAAACUACUUGGUGAGAAGGUGUUUGGUGAGAAGGUGUUUAGUGAAGACGGUUUCCCUCGUCAACUUGAGGAACUGGGAGAGAAGAUUGCCAAGAAAUGUGAAGGUCUUCCUCUUAUGAUAGUCACAGUUGCAGAGCUCCUAUCAAAAGCCGACAAGACCCCAGAAUACUGGACUGAGGUAGCCUACAAACAACACAACUCACUUUUCGAGGAUGCAUAUAAUCAAAUAUCAGAGGUACUUUUCCCAAGUUAUGACUACUUACCCCAACAUUUAAAAAUGUUCUUCCUCUAUAUGGGAGCUUUCCCUCCUUAUGAUGAUCAGAGACCAUUCAAUAUUAAUUAUCUUUUGAGUGUUGAGGGAUUUCUUGAACUGAAUGAUGAAAAAAGUUUUGAAGGUUUCUGGGAAAAGCUUUCUCAGGAGUAUUAUCUUGUUCUCGACACAGAAAAUUCUUGGUAUUCGGGUAGAGUAUCGCGUGCAUUCUUGUUGGCAGCACUUAUGUAAGGUAGAAGCUAGUAGGAUCAAGUUUCUACAUGUCUUACGAGGUUGUGAUGAUGUUAUAAAAGACAGCGCCGCUUGUGUGCCCAUUAACAUUAUUCGGCUUCAAACAAGUGUAUGAUUUGAUAAAAAGUGAUUGUGCAUCCACUGCCCGUUCUCUCCUUUGUUAUGGUCCUUAUCACCCAUAUCCAAUCCAAUACAUGCCAUGGGUUUCAAGUUGCUCAGGGUACUAUAUGCUCUUGGAGUUCGAUUUUACCAUAUCCCAAUUGAAAUUUUGAAACUUGUUUGUUUGCGGUACCUUUCCCUAAGUGCAACGGGGAGCUCCCUCCUUCCAUAUCCAACCUUUUUCACCUUCAAUUCUUGAUUAUCAUCCACAUAUUAUUAAAAGCGUGGAGUUCGUCUUAUAUGCCUGUGCAAAUUUGGGACAUGCAAGAACUAGAGAUUAGAUGGAAGGACCUACCAACCCCUAAUACUGAGAUGCUACCUUGAACAAACUCACCACUUUAUGUGUGAGUGCAAAAGUUGUACAAGGAAGUUCUCAAAAGAAUUCCUAAUUUAAAGGAUUAAUUAGUGGAGUUGAAGCCUUAUGAUGAUGAUGAUGAUGAUGAAAGAAACCCAUCGAGUUGCUUGGGUUAUAUCUCCCAACUCCAGAAUUUGAGACUUAAUAUUGGGUUAAAUCCCGGAUAAAGUAUGAGUGUAAUACGAUUCCUCUUUCAAUGUUUCCAUCAAUCUCAAGGUGUUAACGUUGUCUGGUUUAGGGGGGUAUCCUUGGAAUUACAUGAAUGAAUUGGUUCGGCUCCAAAUCUCGAGAUUCUCAUUAUAUUAUGCAUUUCGAGGCCCAAAGUGGGACAUAACACCGGGGAGUUUUUUGAAACUUCUCGAACUUCAAAUUGAAGACACCGAUUUGGUGCGAUGGAGACCUCAACGUGGAAGCUUCCCGAUGCUUCGUAGACUAAGCAUGAGGCAUUGCUACAAAUUACAACAGCUCGAUUGGAUGUAUGAUCACUGGAUCACAAUUGUAUUAGUCGAGUGCAAUCCUUUAGCUGUCGCUUGUGCCAAGGAAUUAGAAGACAAGUUUUCAUUUGAACUUAUCGUCAAAUCUUCUUUUUGAGGUCAAGUGAGUCUGCAACUUGCCUAACAGGUUAGUGUUACUAUUUGCAAUAUAGUCUUAAUGUUUCUGUUAUGAUCACAGUGUUUGAGAUUGUCCAUCUAUCGAUUUUCAGGCAAAUGAGAGAGCCGAUCGAAGGGGUCAGACACCGCGUUAUCCCAUAAUUUCGAUUCACGUUGCAUUACCACAUAUUGUCGUAUGUAUUUAAGGAUUGUGAUUUGUAUUGGAUUUUGUUGAUGAUUAUGAAACCUGAGUGCUGAAUUGUGUUUGUAACCAAACUUGUUUUAAGUUGGAUUUGUGUGAAAACAUUAGUCCCUUCAGGAGGUUCGAGAAGUCUCUAAGAGGCCGCGAUGUUGAACAAUGGAUGAGCCGUCGCCGCUUACCUAAAGAUCUUCGAAGGUUCUAAAUUCUUUCUCUUUCUUUCUGAUGAUCAUUGUUGAUUAUCUGUAUGAGCGUUGUCUUCUUCGAAUAACUUGAAAAAUUGCCGAAAAAUUGUGACUCGGGCUAUUAAGUGAACAACGGAGAAGUAAUGAACAUCUUAUCUUUAACAGCUCCGAAUUUUUCAACUUUCAUGCCAAUAUACUAUUUAAUUUGUGGCUUCAUAUUUCAAAUUUAUGAGAUCCCUGAGUAGAAACUCAUCAAUAUGAACAUUAAUUUGUUGAGAUGAAGUCCCUGUUGUGUAUUUGGAUGAGCUUUUUCCAAUAGUCUUAUUGUCAUUUCCAUUUUUGAGAACCUUUGUUGUUGUUGUUGUCGUCGUCUUCUUUUUGUUAUUUUUAUUUCUUUUAAGGUUUAGUUUACAUUUUCUUUGAAAUUUAAAAGUUGUUUGCUGAAGAUUCAUGCCCUCUUAAACUUGACAAAGCCAAAAAAAAGAUUGGGGGCUGAUGACUACAGAAAAGCCAUGAUUUGUAUGAACAAAAUUAUUAUGCUAAUUAAGUUAUUUCUUCUCCAUUGUAAAUAUAUAACUGCAGGAGUUGUGAGGUUCAAAAUGUUGUUGAUUUAGCAAUGAAGUUAAUCUGAUUAAGAACUCUUGUUGCCAAAGAAGAAAAGAAUUGAUUAAUUAUCAUUCACAAAAUUUCUGAAGCAGUUAUCAAUUAACAUAGACCAAUCACCUUACUGGCGAGGAAUUGCAGCUCGAUGGUUCCACAAGUUGAUGAAACCUGAUUGCUAAAUUGUGUUUGUAACCAAAUUGUUGUAAGUUGGAUUUGUGUGAAAAUAGUAGCCCCUUGUUCAUGGAUUGUACUUUUUAUGAGUUAUGCAUGAUUUUCACUUUGCUUUGAUAUUGUGUGUAACCAGUUUGUGUUUGUUUUUAUAUAGCUUAAAAUUUUAAGAUUCUAGCAAUAUACUAAAUAAUUUCAGGCUUCAUAUUUUUAUUUUUAUUUGUUGCUUUCUGCAGGCUCUGGGACGCAGGUGUGCACUCGAUUCGAACCUCAGAUCAUUGGCCUUGGGCGUUAAAUAAGUGCUUAAAUACAAUUAAUUUACUUCAGGAGGUUCGAAAAGUCUUUAAGAGGCUGUGAUGUUGAACAAUCGUGAGCAUGCACUACACUGACUUAUACGUUCAGUGCAAUAAAUUGUAUGCGUUGUGCAAUAAAUUAACUUUGCAUGCGUUCAGAAGGUUCUCAUUUGAAUAUUAAAUCUAAUAAAGUGAUGUUAUUAACUCUGCAGAAGCCAUUGUGUAGAUGUUGCUAUUUGCUAACUCAUAUAAAUUUGUAUCAGUUAAUUUUAGAUCGAGUUAAAGAAAUCAAGAAGAAUCGUCUCUUCCACAUUCACUAUGUACAGCUGCAGCCAUGCCCAUCAACAGAGGAUUUUAAGAAAGUUAACCUGCAGUCUUUCACAGCCACGGCCUCUUCGCUACUCGCCUUAACUACUUAACUAUAUACUCCCUCCGUCCGCGAUAUCGUUUUCACAUUGUAGACGGUGCGGGUUUUAAGAAAAGUGGUGGAUAUGUAGUGAGUGGAGUUUGAGUCCCACUAUUGUUGUGAGUGGAAGUUUGUGGACUAUACUUCUAUAAAUGGAAGUGGAAACGAUAUCGCUGACGGACCGAAAUGGCAAAUGUGGAAACGAUAUUGCGGACGGAGGGAGUAUAUACUAUAGAAUUUAACUACUUAACUAGAUAAAUGAAAAUAAUAAUAACUCACUAUUAUAUAAUUAAUCACCGCACAUGAGGCGCUAAAAUAAAAGCACUUCUUAAAAUAUAAAAUAUGAACUAUUUUCAGAUCUUAGAUCAUCAAGAUCUAAGGGUGAUUCAUAUUUGAUGUAUGAAUUCAUGGUCGUGAUCAGUUCAAAUCAUAUGUCUCUGUUAAUUUAUUUGCUAUCACCAAGGGGCUAUCACCAAGAAGGGGAGAGUUUCUGAUUCUUCUAUCAAGCACAAGCUCCAUCGUAUCAUAAUCAAUGGCAUGUCCUCGGAUUUCCAAAACUCAGCACGCCAUGAUGAUAUGCAGGGCCCAGGUCUAGACACUUCUUCGCCUGUGGAGUUCCUGAAUAAAGUGAAGUAUGCUCAGUCUGGAGGACAGAUUCUGCAAAACUUUGUGAUCAACUCCUCUAACUCUACCGAUGCAGCCCAUGCUAUGUCGGUUGUGGCCUCUUCAAAAAUGAAGAAAAAAUGGGGCGAUAUGUUGGACGAUGAAGAUGACGAUGUUUUAGACGAGGACGACCCUCUUAAAAUGUUCUCUUAGUCUUGGUUUCUUUUUUGGUUACCCGGGGUUUCUUGCGGGUGCUUUUGCUUGUUUCCUUAUGUCUCUGGUCUCUCUUUUUUUUCUUUUCUUUUUAAUAAAAUUUCUAUUUCAGCAGAUCAGUUCAAAUCAUAGGUAGCAAAAUUUUUAAUUUUUGCAAUUCAGACAUUUACACGGAAAAUUCAUACAUUUAAAUAUAAUUUCUCUAAGAUUAAAUCUCAACCGUUAGAUUAUGGAUAGAUCAAUGGUGUAAAUCUAUUCCUAUUUUAUACUCCUUUAAAAGUUGUUUUCAUCAUUGCCCUCCCCUUAAGGCACAUAUCAUAUAUACACUAAGUUGUAUAUAAAUAUUAUCAUACUUUAAUAUGUAUGUGUUUGAAAUUUGGUAUGACCGCUAGGUUUUUUAAAAAAGCCAACACAAUUUCUAUAAAUUAAUAACUUUGGGAUCUAAAAAGUUUUUUUUUUUUUUUUUUUUAGAUACUAAAUUAAAAUCUUAAAAUUNCAGAGGAAUCGUCCCGCCAGAGGAUUCCUACCGCCAGAGGAAUCCUCCCGCCAGAGGAAUCCUCCCGCCAGCGGAAUCCUUCCGCCAGAGGAAUCCUCCCGCCAGAGGAAUCUUGGUUUUCCAGAGCAGAGGAGCGGACGUGCAGAGCAGAGCGUGCGGAGCUGGUUUUCUCGCUAGCGUUAUUUUAGUCUUGCUGAUCAAGUUUCUUUAGUUUCCUUGUUUUUACGUUUUAUGUCCUUCUUUAAAUUAGGGUUUUAUUUUGCCUAUAUAUGGCGGCUGUAUGGAACAUUUGAAAAUUAACUUUGAUGAUAUAUGAAAUUUGUGAGAUUAUUCUCUCUUGAGAACUUCGAGUUCUUCCUGGAUUUUGCCCAAGCAAAUCCAACCUAUCGGCGUAUCGGCGGGUUCAUCAUCCCUCGUCGUAUGUCAUUCACCGUCCCCGAGUUACUGUAUCAACUGCACGUUGGGGUUUAGGGAUUCGUUCGCCUAAAUCACUUCCGUCGGGUUUAGAUCCAGGGGUUUUGGGAUUUCCAUCUUCUCAUUCCACCUAUCGACGAAUCGACGAGUUCAUCAUCCCUCGCCGUGUGUCAUUCAGCGUCUCCGAGUUACUGUAUCAAUCGUGCGUUGGGGUUUAGGGAUCCGUUCUCUAGAUCAUUUCGUAGAUUAGAUACAGGGGUUUUGAGAUAUUCCACACUCUAUCUGUCUUUUAAUUUCCGUUUAUUUCAGAUCAGAUCGUUUAAAGAUCUCAUCGAUCUUUUGUUCAUAUCAGUCGGGCCCAACGCGAUGAAGUUUAAUCUACCCACAUAAUUAUGAUUGACAGAAAAAUUUACCAAGAUUAAGUAUAAAGCUCCAAAAAAGCAUAUAUAUGCAAUGCAUAUAUAUUUACAAAAUUUCACAUUUCGUUAUUACUUAAUAAAAUAAAAGUAAUAGAUUUAAAUAUCAUUAUAUUAUUAAUAAAAUAUUAAAUUUGCAACACAUACAAUAUUUCCCGUGCAUCGCAUAGGAAGUGUACUAGUAAUAAUAAUAAUACUCCCUCCGUCCCCGUCAUAAGUGAAACGUUUCUUUUCGGCACGAGAUUUAAUGAGUCAGUGUUUAGGGGUAUAAGAGUGUUUUUAGUUUUAUACUUAAGUGAGAAUAUAAUAAUUAAUAAUUUUGAAUUAAAUUUAAAUUCAAACUUUAAUUUAUUACUUACAUUUAUUUUCAAAUUUUAUUUUCUAUUUUAUUUAAUAAUUUUUUUUUACAUACCCACUUCUCAAAGGAAUGUUUUAUUUAAUAAUAAUAAUAAUAAUAAUAAUACACAAUGCAAUAGACGUACUAAACAAAAAUUAUAAUUUGUAUUAUAAAGAGUACAAUAAUAUAGUAUUAAAUAUAUAUAUAUAGGUAACUAGGUAAGAAUUCUGAGAAAUUAAAAAAAAAAUUGCUUAAGAAAAGUUAAAAAUUAAAAAUCAUGUAAAAAUUGCACUAGUUUCCUUACUUUUCUUGUUCAUGACGUCGUAGUAAGGGGGCCCAUCUUAUCUUAAUUAUCAGUGCUGCUACUAUUCUUGAUUUUUGAAGCAGCUCUCAUAAUUUUCAACUGGUUGAUUGCUCAAUCUUCAUAAUUUCUUGCUACUAUUCUUCCACACAAUUGCCUUCAAAAUCAUCAAUAGAUCCAUUUUACCAUUACAUUAUACACAUCUUUUCAAAUCAUUUACUAAAGUUCUUGAAUGUGGCUUUGAAUGUUUCUGAAAUUGUAUCAAAAGCAGCUGCCGCCGCCGUCGAGAGGUAAGCAGAGAGCUGAGAUCUAUCAUUUCUUUCAUCUGCGUUUGCUUAUUAUAAUUCCUUCUUCUUCUGCGUUUCUUUCUUAGGCGACUGAAUUUUAUUCUGGGCUAAUUGCAGUUUAGUUCAAGCUUCAUUUUGGAGGAAAAUUGCAGACCUAAGCAAUUUCAUUUCAACAAUAUAUCGUAUCUCAGCUGAUAAUUUGGGUAUGGCGGCUUAUGGUGCAGCCACUUCUCUCAAGAAUACGAUUCUGCGUAUUCUACAAUCGUCUCGCAUUUCUCUAGUUUCCCACUCUCCGCAAAUCUUGCAACCUGCCUACGACCAGAUGGAUCGAUUGCAGAGAAUUCUGCUCCAAUUGGACGAGACCAGCUGCAGCAAGAUCAGGACGAAGGUGAAUGCUGCGGAUGAACUCAUAAAAGAGGCAGUUUGGGAAUUCGAAGAUUUACUCGAAUCCCAUAUCUUACCUCAGAUUCUUCCACAACUCGAAAGCGAGAGACACAACUUGUCAUUCUCUGUAGAUCUGCAGAGUCUGCAACACCAUGUUGAUUGCUUCGUCGAGAUGGUGAAGAUGAUGGAGGUGGAGUACUUCAUUGAAAUGGAGAAUAUGGCUGAAGAAGAAGGCGAGCCUAUUUCCUCAAGAAUCGAUUUUGGUGGAAUCAAGUCAAAGAUGGUUGGAUUAUCUUAUGAAUUUCAAAGAGCCAGAGAUAACCUUCUUGAAGAUAAACACUAUUCGAUUAUUGGGAUGGCGGGCGUUGGAAAGACAACUCUUGCUAAGCAUAUUUUUGAAGAUCCAUCAAUUCGGAGCCAUUUUGAGUUUCGAGCAUGGGU
RNAcentral lists this long non-coding RNA (31519 nucleotides) under Salvia miltiorrhiza (redroot sage). RNAcentral's name for it is "long non-coding RNA (SMIL_LNC006078)". The record is from RNAcentral. Lineage: Eukaryota; Viridiplantae; Streptophyta; Magnoliopsida; Lamiales; Lamiaceae.